RNAcentral lists this ribosomal RNA (229 nucleotides) under uncultured bacterium. RNAcentral's name for it is "partial 16S ribosomal RNA". It matches the Rfam family "Bacterial small subunit ribosomal RNA", at positions 568 to 796 of the family's 1533-position model. The record is from RNAcentral.
UACGUAGGCGGAAAAAUAAGUCAGUGGUGAAAUCCUGCAGCUCAACUGUAGAACUGCCAUUGAAACUAUUUUUCUUGAGUAUAGUUGAGGUGGGCGGAAUGUGUCAUGUAGCGGUGAAAUGCUUAGAUAUGACACAGAACACCGAUUGCGUAGGCAGCUCACUAAACUAUUACUGACGCUGAGGUACGAAAGCGUGGGGAGCGAACAGGAUUAGAUACCCUGGUAGUCC